GAGUUUGAUCUUGGCUCAGGAUGAACGCUGGCGGCGUGCCUAAUACAUGCAAGUCGAACGAACAGAUAAGGAGCUUGCUCCUUUGACGUUAGCGGCGGACGGGUGAGUAACACGUGGGUAACCUACCUAUAAGACUGGGAAUAACUCCGGGAAACCGGGGCUAAUGCCGGAUAACAUGUUGAACCGCAUGGUUCUACAGUGAAAGACGGUCUUGCUGUCACUUAUAGAUGGACCCGCGCCGUAUUAGCUAGUUGGUGGGGUAACGGCCUACCAAGGCGACGAUACGUAGCCGACCUGAGAGGGUGAUCGGCCACACUGGAACUGAGACACGGUCCAGACUCCUACGGGAGGCAGCAGUAGGGAAUCUUCCGCAAUGGGCGAAAGCCUGACGGAGCAACGCCGCGUGAGUGAUGAAGGUCUUCGGAUCGUAAAGCUCUGUUGUUAGGGAAGACAAAUGUGUAAGUAACUGUGCAUAUCUUGACGGUACCUAACCAGAAAGUCACGGCUAACUACGUGCCAGCCGCCGCGGUAAGACC
This 536-nucleotide ribosomal RNA is filed under the name uncultured microorganism. RNAcentral describes it as "bacterial SSU rRNA". It matches the Rfam family "Bacterial small subunit ribosomal RNA", at positions 9 to 527 of the family's 1533-position model. The record is from RNAcentral.